ACCAGACUCCUACGGGAGGCAGCAGUGGGGAAUUUUGCGCAAUGGGGGAAACCCUGACGCAGCAACGCCGCGUGCGGGAUGACGGCCUUCGGGUUGUAAACCGCUUUCAGUAGGGACGAAUUUUGACGGUACCUACAGAAGAAGCCCCGGCUAACUACGUGCCAGCAGCCGCGGUAAUACGUAGGGGGCGAGCGUUAUCCGGAUUCAUUGGGCGUAAAGCGCGCGUAGGCGGUCAUGUAAGCGGGACCUCUAAUCUUGGGGCUCAACCUCAAGCCGGGUUCCGAACUACAUGACUCGAGUGUGGUAGGGGAGAUCGGAAUUCCCGGUGUAGCGGUGGAAUGCGCAGAUAUCGGGAGGAACACCGGCGGCGAAGGCGGCUUACUGGACUGUAACUGACGUUGAGGCUCGAAGGCGUGGGGAGCAAACAGGAUUAGAUACCCGAGUA
RNAcentral lists this ribosomal RNA (445 nucleotides) under uncultured bacterium. RNAcentral's name for it is "bacterial SSU rRNA". It matches the Rfam family "Bacterial small subunit ribosomal RNA", at positions 330 to 792 of the family's 1533-position model. The record is from RNAcentral.